RNAcentral lists this ribosomal RNA (253 nucleotides) under uncultured bacterium. Its description in RNAcentral is "partial 16S ribosomal RNA". It matches the Rfam family "Bacterial small subunit ribosomal RNA", at positions 524 to 776 of the family's 1533-position model. The record is from RNAcentral.
UACGGGGGGGGCAAGCGUUGUUCGGAAUUACUGGGCGUAAAGGGCUCGUAGGCGGCCAACUAAGUCACACGUGAAAUCCCCAGGCUUAACCUGGGAACUGCGUGUGAUACUGGAUGGCUUGAAUUCGGGAGAGGGAUGCAGAAUUCCAGGUGUAGCGGUGAAAUGCGUAGAUAUCUGGAGGAAUACCGGUGGCGAAGGCGGCAUCCUGGACCGGCAUUGACGCUGAGCGGCGAAAGCUAGGGGAGCAAACGGG